GCGCCGGUUCCCCCGACAAGGGGGAUUAAAAGGGAACACGGUGAGGGGGGCAGCUCCCAAAUCCGCGGCUGUCCCUGCAACUGUAAGCGGUGAGCGGAGAUGCACGGGUCGGCCAUCGGGACGAUCCAGCCACUGGGGUAACCUGGGAAGGCGCAUCCAUCCGCGACGACCCGUGAGCCAGGAGACCUGCCGGCGUC
Molecule: non-coding RNA, 197 nt
Filed under: Candidatus Sphingomonas excrementigallinarum
Lineage: Bacteria; Pseudomonadati; Pseudomonadota; Alphaproteobacteria; Sphingomonadales; Sphingomonadaceae
Source: RNAcentral